Long non-coding RNA from Columba livia (rock pigeon), 581 nucleotides. RefSeq lists it as uncharacterized. The transcript is spliced from 2 exons. The record is from RefSeq and is a predicted model, not a curated record. Lineage: Eukaryota; Metazoa; Chordata; Aves; Columbiformes; Columbidae.
UGCGGGACGCGCCGCCGCUGCCCUGGCUGUCCCCGCGGCCGCCCCGCCCUCCCGCGCGGGGCACGCCGGGAUGUGUAGUCCGGAGCCGCGGAGGCAGCGGUGGCCUCGCUGCCGCCCGACUACAACCCCCAGCGUGCCCCGCGCGGGGGGCGGAGCCAGCCGCCGGCCGCAGCCGGUGCCCGCGCUGAUUGGUCUGCUCCAUCGCACGAGGAUGAGCCCAAGGAGCUCUGCCUUGUGGCCGCUAAUCCCCCGCCCCAGGCCGCCGGGAGGCAGCGGGUCCCUUCGCCUCCUCCCCAGCCCCAUCUGCAGCCGCUGCCCGAGCAGCCCGGCCCUGCAGAUGGUGGGUAAAUAAAUCACGGCUGGGCAUGAGGCACAUGGGCUGGAAUUAUCGUAUAUUUCCAAGAAAAUGCUCUUUUGGCUUCCGGCAGCCUCGGCGCGCGCUGCAGAGGGCUCUGGUGGCCGGGCAGGGCCAGGCUGGGUGCUGGCGGCACAGCUGGGGCUGGGGGCCGUUAAUCAGGCUGGCUUCGGUGUAAUCUGAAAUAAUCAAAUUAGAAAGAAACCGCUAAUCAGCUCUGAUCUCA